Molecule: ribosomal RNA, 484 nt
Filed under: uncultured bacterium
Lineage: Bacteria
Description: partial 16S ribosomal RNA
Rfam family: Bacterial small subunit ribosomal RNA
Source: RNAcentral
AUUGAACGCUGGCGGCAGGCCUAACACAUGCAAGUCGAGCGGAUGAAGGGAGCUUGCUCCUGGAUUCAGCGGCGGGCGGGUGAGUAAUGCCUAGGAAUCUGCCUGGUAGUGGGGGAUAACGUCCGGAAACGGGCGCUAAUACCGCAUACGUCCUGAGGGAGAAAGUGGGGGAUCUUCGGACCUCACGCUAUCAGAUGAGCCUAGGUCGGAUUAGCUAGUUGGUGGGGUAAAGGCCUACCAAGGCGACGAUCCGUAACUGGUCUGAGAGGAUGAUCAGUCACACUGGAACUGAGACACGGUCCAGACUCCUACGGGAGGCAGCAGUGGUGAAUAUUGGACAAUGGGCGAAAGCCUGAUCCAGCCAUGCCGCGUGUGUGAAGAAGGUCUUCGGAUUGUAAAGCACUUUAAGUUGGGAGGAAGGGCAGUAAGUUAAUACCUUGCUGUUUUGACGUUACCAACAGAAUAAGCACCGGCUAACUUCGUG